CAGGGGGGGGGCGGAGCUAACACAUGCAAGUCGAACGGCAGCACAGAAGAGCUUGCUCUUUGGGUGGCGAGUGGCGGACGGGUGAGUAAUGUCUGGGAAACUGCCCGAUGGAGGGGGAUAACUACUGGAAACGGUAGCUAAUACCGCAUAACGUCGCAGACCAAAGUGGGGGACCUUCGGGCCUCACACCAUCGGAUGUGCCCAGAUGGGAUUAGCUAGUAGGUGGGGUAAUGGCUCACCUAGGCGACGAUCCCUAGCUGGUCUGAGAGGAUGACCAGCCACACUGGAACUGAGACACGGUCCAGACUCCUACGGGAGGCAGCAGUGGGGAAUAUUGCACAAUGGGCGCAAGCCUGAUGCAGCCAUGCCGCGUGUAUGAAGAAGGCCUUCGGGUUGUAAAGUACUUUCAGCGGGGAGGAAGGCGGUGAGGUUAAUAACCUCGCCGAUUGACGUUACCCGCAGAAGAAGCACCGGCUAACUCCCUGCCAGCAGCCGCGGUAAA
This 502-nucleotide ribosomal RNA is filed under the name Pantoea dispersa. RNAcentral's name for it is "bacterial SSU rRNA". It matches the Rfam family "Bacterial small subunit ribosomal RNA", at positions 38 to 524 of the family's 1533-position model. Lineage: Bacteria; Pseudomonadati; Pseudomonadota; Gammaproteobacteria; Enterobacterales; Erwiniaceae. The record is from RNAcentral.